Molecule: long non-coding RNA, 255 nt
Organism: Lemur catta (Ring-tailed lemur)
Lineage: Eukaryota; Metazoa; Chordata; Mammalia; Primates; Lemuridae
Exons: 4
Source: RefSeq, a predicted model, not a curated record
GGGCGCAGGGAGCCGCCUCCGCGCUGUGCAUGGCCAAGCUCCUGGCCGAGCUCCUGGGCUGCGCGCUGCCGGGCACGGGCGCCUCGCCCACGUGCGAGUCCAAAAGUCAUUCCCGAGUUGGCCUGAAAUCAAGCACCAAGCAAAAGACCACCAUUUUCAGCACACUGGCCGGUGAGAAGUCCUUAUCAGACUGCAAAAAGGAGCAGCAAUGGAAGUCCCCUGUGUGCAGCAGCAUGACUCCAGUCUGCUUCCCGA